GGAGAGAUGGGUGAGUGGCUGAAACCAACAGUUUGCUAAACUGUCGUACUGGGUAACCGGUACCCCGGGUUCGAAUCCCGGUCUCUCCG
This 89-nucleotide transfer RNA is filed under the name Imperialibacter roseus. RNAcentral's name for it is "tRNA-Ser". It matches the Rfam family "tRNA". Rfam says of the family: Transfer RNA (tRNA) molecules are approximately 80 nucleotides in length. Their secondary structure includes four short double-helical elements and three loops (D, anti-codon, and T loops). Further hydrogen bonds mediate the characteristic L-shaped molecular structure. tRNAs have two regions of fundamental functional importance: the anti-codon, which is responsible for specific mRNA codon recognition, and the 3' end, to which the tRNAs corresponding amino acid is attached (by aminoacyl-tRNA synthetases). tRNAs cope with the degeneracy of the genetic code in two manners: having more than one tRNA (with a specific anti-codon) for a particular amino acid; and 'wobble' base-pairing, i.e. permitting non-standard base-pairing at the 3rd anti-codon position. RNAcentral also lists the same sequence under 4 other names. The record is from RNAcentral. Lineage: Bacteria; Pseudomonadati; Bacteroidota; Cytophagia; Cytophagales; Flammeovirgaceae.